This 908-nucleotide long non-coding RNA is filed under the name Citrus x clementina. RNAcentral describes it as "Citrus clementina (C. clementina) long non-coding RNA (CCLE_LNC006515)". Lineage: Eukaryota; Viridiplantae; Streptophyta; Magnoliopsida; Sapindales; Rutaceae. The record is from RNAcentral.
UUAAAAGUGCUUUUUUUAUUGACAACCAAACACCCAAUGACUUUUUGUUCAAAAGCUCUAUUGGUAUAAGAUAUAUUAGUAUAAGCUCUACUGCUAUAAGUUCUACUGUUAUAAGCUCUAUUUAAUAAACUGUACCAAACGGAACCUAAGAAAGUGUGUUAGAUAACUUUUUUUUGGGUUUUGGUCAGUCAAAGUCUUCAGCUCGGACAGAGUCAGACCCAUUCUCUCUUGGGACAAGUCAGCGCGUGGACGGAAAUGAAAGUCUAAUGGGCUAGGCCCAUAGACCAUAGUCGUCCCUCUCAUAUCGGGCUCAUGUCGGUCCAUAUUUGUUCGAUUUAUAAAAGAGUUUCUAAAGGUAUUUCACAGGGGUUGGGAAUUUUAUCAUAUUAUUUUCUAAUUCUCACGAAACUAAAGGGGGCAAAGUAAUCUUAAAUCAUAUCAAGGUCGAGCCAUACAUAUAGAGGGAGUAAAAUACUUUCAAAUUUUGAGGUAGCAUUAUCAUUUCUUAAACUUGAUUUUCCGGUUGAACUUAUGAUAACCUACAUCAAAAUAAUUCAUAGUAAAUUUAUAUUUAUAUUAUUAAUAGAAUUGUGAUGUAAUUUAAGAAAAAAAUAAAGUGACCUCGAAUGCCAUAAUUAAUAUUCAUGCGUAAUUUCUGUCAAAUUUAGAGUUUUUGACAUAUAUUAUGCUCAAAAGAAAAAAAAAAUUAUUUGAUUAAACAUUGCCUUGACUAGUUUAUAAUUAAUAAACCCUCGACAGACUACAAUAAUGAAAACUUUUUAUUCUUGAGCAAAGCAGGGGUAGUGCAUUUUUUUCCCUCCAAAAUUUAAAUGGUUUGAUUUUUUUUUAAAUUCUGAAUAGGUAUGAAUACAAAUAUUUAAAUCAUAUAUUUAUUGUUUUAAUAUUUG